GCUCGAGUGGUGAAAUUGGCAUACACGCAAGACUUAGGAUCUUGUGCCUCACGGCAUGAGGGUUCGACUCCCUCCUCGAGCACCA
RNAcentral lists this transfer RNA (85 nucleotides) under Opitutales bacterium. RNAcentral's name for it is "tRNA-Leu". It matches the Rfam family "tRNA". Rfam says of the family: Transfer RNA (tRNA) molecules are approximately 80 nucleotides in length. The record is from RNAcentral. Lineage: Bacteria; Pseudomonadati; Verrucomicrobiota; Opitutia; Opitutales.